AUAUUGAUUUUGAUGAUUUAAUAGGGGACAUGAUAAUGGUAAUCUUAUUAAUGAUAAUAAAUAUAAUGGAGAUAUAGUAAUAAAAAUACCAAAAAGUUAUGAUGAUAGUAAUAACUAUUCAAGUGCUAAUAAAACCCAGCAGAUGCAGUGUUAAAUGUUGAGUGACUGAAGAAUUUUCCCCAAUUGAAUAUUUCCAAUUAGUAUAUACCACUUAGGUGAAUAGUGUUUUUGACACAUGUCAUUUUAUAUACCACCUAGGUGAAUAGUGUUUUUGACACAUGCCAUUUUUGUUAUUUAAUUGCUAGAUUAGCAAGUACCAUCCAUCAAAAAAGGUGGAGGGCCUACUAUUUUUCUCUGAAUUGUCAGAAAUAACUAAUUUAAGGUUUCUGCAUGGUAUGUUCUGAAACAAUUUAUUCACCUUGGCAUGAGUGUAAGUGGUGGAUAUGUACUUUUACUUCAGCGAUUAAUUAUUACCUAUCAUUAAUAAUGUUGUUAUUAUUAUCAAUGUUAUCAUUAAAAUUCAGCAAAUGUUUGAAUUGGAAUCAAGAUUGUUAUUAAGACGGCAAGAGUUAAUUAUUGUUGAUGGGCAAUGAAAGCUAAAUCUAUGUUAUCAAAAUAAGAAUACAAAAGGUUAAAAACAGUGUAAUGUACUGUUUUUGUUGAAAUACAAUACUGUCAAUUAAUGAUUCUUCAACCUAG
This is a long non-coding RNA of Pocillopora damicornis (cauliflower coral), 699 nucleotides long. The record is from RefSeq and is a predicted model, not a curated record. Lineage: Eukaryota; Metazoa; Cnidaria; Anthozoa; Scleractinia; Pocilloporidae.